UAAUAUCUUUUCUAUUAUCAUCUUGAGCGCAGGGGCACUUGCUCGGCGGCAUUUAUCAUCUGAAAAGCAUGAUCUUCCAUCUUCGGCUGCUUUACAUAGCUGAGGAUCCAGUGGUACUUUUCCAAGAAACGGGACAUCCAUAUCGUUGCACAUCUUUGCUGCGCCUCCGCCACUGGUAUCAAAAACUUCACUACAAGCAAUCAAGUUCAGCAUUUCUGGGGCGUUCUCACUGAUAUAAGACAUGGCCCAUUCGGUCAUGUCUUUCUGCUCGCCAGUCUCUGUCAUUCUUGUGAAUUUGAAUUCAGAGAGUGGCUGGGAAAGACCACUCAUGUUCUCAACAACACCAAGAACCUCCACCCCAACUUUCUUGCAAAAACUAACUUCUUUCCUUACAUCUAUCAGAGAUACCUGUUGUGGGGUUGUGACUAAAACUGCACCAUCUAUUCCAGUUGCCUCGAGGGAUUGAACGAUUGUAAUCUGUUCAUCUGACGUUCCAGGUGGAGCAUCAACCACAAGGAAAUCAAGCUCUCCCCAAUCAACAUCUCUGAGGAAUUGCUUAAUUAGACCAGUCUUGCGAGGCCCUCUCCAUAUAGCAGCUUCAUCAGGGUUGGAGAUCAUGAAACCAAUUGAUAUAACCCCAAGGUUAGACUCAACAUAAGCAGGUAUCCAUCCACAAUUACUCCGGUGAAUCUCUCGUCCUUCGAGACCAAGCAUCUUUGGGAUGCUGGGGCCACAGAUAUCAAUGUCAAGGAUACCCACUUCAAAAUUCAUAGCUGCCAAUGCAAAAGCAAGUUGAGCUGAGAAAGUACUCUUACCAACUCCACCUUUGCCAGAUAAAACCAGUAUCUUGUGCUUCACAGUUGCCAUUCUUUCUACUAUUGCAACCAAGUCUGCACGAAACCAUCAAUACCAAACCGUCGAAAAUUUUAGUACUGUAUUAUUGUUUUUUAUAUAUAUGAUAAAGUAAUUUUCUUUGAAGCAUAUAAUCAAACAGUAUAUAAGCUAACACUCAAGUUUGGCCUAAAUUGGCUAUCAGUACCACCAAUUUGUUCCAAAGAGUUGCUGCAUAGCAACCAGUAACCACAUAACACUACUAAAAGCAUAACAUAUCAAAGCUCCUGUUGGAGUGGGAAGGAAAAUUUUACAGCAAUCAACCUGUUCGUAAACGCGGAGAUGAUAACAUCCUCCACAUUAUUCAGAGUCGAUUUCACAGAGGAAACAUGUCCGUUUAACAAAUCAUCGUAUAAAAAUCACUAGAAAUUGUAUAAUACAUCCAUAUCUAGAGUUAUAAAAGCUCUCAGUUACGAAAAAAUGUUGGUCACAAGUACCCGGAACUUAAUGAAAGAAAAGGUAAAGAAAGCCUAGAAAAAAGUUAUAAAUACUAUGCUCCAUUCUCUGUUGAGAUGUUUUUCUGAGCUAAUAUCUUUUCUAUUAUCAUCUUGAGCGCAGGGGCACUUGCCCGGCGGCAUUUAUCAUCUGAAAAGCAUGAUCUUCCAUCUUCGGCUGCUUUACAUAACUGAGGAUCCAGUGGUACUUUUCCAAGAAACGGGACACCCAUAUCGUUGCACAUCUUUGCAGCACCUCCGCCACUGGCAUCAAAAACUUCAGUACAAGCAAUCAAGUUCAGCAUUUCUGGGGCGUUCUCUCUCAUAUAAGAC
Molecule: long non-coding RNA, 1658 nt
Filed under: Solanum tuberosum (potato)
Lineage: Eukaryota; Viridiplantae; Streptophyta; Magnoliopsida; Solanales; Solanaceae
Description: long non-coding RNA (STUB_LNC011904)
Source: RNAcentral